CCAUUUUUAUGCCCCACCUACGAUAGUAGAGGGGCAUUAUGUUUUCUGGUCUGUGCGUCCGUUCGUUCGUCCGUCCGUCCGUUCGUUCGUCCGUCCGUCCGUUCGUCCGUCCGUCCGUUCGUUCGUCCAUCCGUCCGUCCGUCCGUUCGUUCGUUUGUUCGUCCGUCUGUCCCGCUUCAGGUUAAAGUUUUUGGUCAAGGUAGUUUUUGAUGAAGUUGAAGUCCAAUUGACUUCAAACUUGGUA
This 244-nucleotide long non-coding RNA is filed under the name Mytilus galloprovincialis (Mediterranean mussel). Lineage: Eukaryota; Metazoa; Mollusca; Bivalvia; Mytilida; Mytilidae. The record is from RNAcentral.